RNAcentral lists this ribosomal RNA (2922 nucleotides) under Klebsiella pneumoniae UHKPC05. RNAcentral's name for it is "bacterial LSU rRNA". It matches the Rfam family "Bacterial large subunit ribosomal RNA". The record is from RNAcentral. Lineage: Bacteria; Pseudomonadati; Pseudomonadota; Gammaproteobacteria; Enterobacterales; Enterobacteriaceae.
GGGUUGUGAGGUUAAGCGACUAAGCGUACACGGUGGAUGCCCUGGCAGUCAGAGGCGAUGAAGGACGUGCUAAUCUGCGAAAAGCGUCGGUAAGGUGAUAUGAACCGUUAUAACCGGCGAUGUCCGAAUGGGGAAACCCAGUGUGAUUCGUCACACUAUCGUUAACUGAAUACAUAGGUUAACGAGGCGAACCGGGGGAACUGAAACAUCUAAGUACCCCGAGGAAAAGAAAUCAACCGAGAUUCCCCCAGUAGCGGCGAGCGAACGGGGAGCAGCCCAGAGUCUGAAUCAGCUUGUGUGUUAGUGGAACGGUCUGGAAAGUCCGACGGUACAGGGUGAUAGUCCCGUACACCAAAAUGCACAGGCUGUGAACUCGAAGAGUAGGGCGGGACACGUGGUAUCCUGUCUGAAUAUGGGGGGACCAUCCUCCAAGGCUAAAUACUCCUGACUGACCGAUAGUGAACCAGUACCGUGAGGGAAAGGCGAAAAGAACCCCGGCGAGGGGAGUGAAAAAGAACCUGAAACCGUGUACGUACAAGCAGUGGGAGCACCUUCGGGUGUGACUGCGUACCUUUUGUAUAAUGGGUCAGCGACUUAUAUUCUGUAGCAAGGUUAACCGUAUAGGGGAGCCGCAGGGAAACCGAGUCUUAACUGGGCGUUAAGUUGCAGGGUAUAGACCCGAAACCCGGUGAUCUAGCCAUGGGCAGGUUGAAGGUUGGGUAACACUAACUGGAGGACCGAACCGACUAAUGUUGAAAAAUUAGCGGAUGACUUGUGGCUGGGGGUGAAAGGCCAAUCAAACCGGGAGAUAGCUGGUUCUCCCCGAAAGCUAUUUAGGUAGCGCCUCGUGAACUCAUCUUCGGGGGUAGAGCACUGUUUCGGCUAGGGGGUCAUCCCGACUUACCAACCCGAUGCAAACUACGAAUACCGAAGAAUGUUAUCACGGGAGACACACGGCGGGUGCUAACGUCCGUCGUGAAGAGGGAAACAACCCAGACCGCCAGCUAAGGUCCCAAAGUCAUGGUUAAGUGGGAAACGAUGUGGGAAGGCACAGACAGCCAGGAUGUUGGCUUAGAAGCAGCCAUCAUUUAAAGAAAGCGUAAUAGCUCACUGGUCGAGUCGGCCUGCGCGGAAGAUGUAACGGGGCUAAACCAUGCACCGAAGCUGCGGCAGCGACACUAUGUGUUGUUGGGUAGGGGAGCGUUCUGUAAGCCUGCGAAGGUGACCUGUGAGGGUUGCUGGAGGUAUCAGAAGUGCGAAUGCUGACAUAAGUAACGAUAAAGCGGGUGAAAAGCCCGCUCGCCGGAAGACCAAGGGUUCCUGUCCAACGUUAAUCGGGGCAGGGUGAGUCGACCCCUAAGGCGAGGCCGAAAGGCGUAGUCGAUGGGAAACAGGUUAAUAUUCCUGUACUUGGUGUUACUGCGAAGGGGGGACGGAGAAGGCUAUGUUAGCCGGGCGACGGUUGUCCCGGUUUAAGCAUGUAGGCUGGUUAUCCAGGCAAAUCCGGAUAAUCAAGGCUGAGGUGUGAUGACGAGGCACUACGGUGCUGAAGUAACAAAUGCCCUGCUUCCAGGAAAAGCCUCUAAGCAUCAGGUAACAUCAAAUCGUACCCCAAACCGACACAGGUGGUCAGGUAGAGAAUACCAAGGCGCUUGAGAGAACUCGGGUGAAGGAACUAGGCAAAAUGGUGCCGUAACUUCGGGAGAAGGCACGCUGGUGUGUAGGUGAAGCCCCUGCGGGUGGAGCUGAGACCAGUCGAAGAUACCAGCUGGCUGCAACUGUUUAUUAAAAACACAGCACUGUGCAAACACGAAAGUGGACGUAUACGGUGUGACGCCUGCCCGGUGCCGGAAGGUUAAUUGAUGGGGUUAUCCGUAAGGAGAAGCUCUUGAUCGAAGCCCCGGUAAACGGCGGCCGUAACUAUAACGGUCCUAAGGUAGCGAAAUUCCUUGUCGGGUAAGUUCCGACCUGCACGAAUGGCGUAAUGAUGGCCAGGCUGUCUCCACCCGAGACUCAGUGAAAUUGAACUCGCUGUGAAGAUGCAGUGUACCCGCGGCAAGACGGAAAGACCCCGUGAACCUUUACUAUAGCUUGACACUGAACAUUGAGCCUUGAUGUGUAGGAUAGGUGGGAGGCUUUGAAGCGUGGACGCCAGUCUGCGUGGAGCCAACCUUGAAAUACCACCCUUUAAUGUUUGAUGUUCUAACGUUGGCCCCUUACCGGGGUUGCGGACAGUGUCUGGUGGGUAGUUUGACUGGGGCGGUCUCCUCCCAAAGCGUAACGGAGGAGCACGAAGGUUAGCUAAUCCUGGUCGGACAUCAGGAGGUUAGUGCAAUGGCAUAAGCUAGCUUGACUGCGAGCGUGACGGCGCGAGCAGGUGCGAAAGCAGGUCAUAGUGAUCCGGUGGUUCUGAAUGGAAGGGCCAUCGCUCAACGGAUAAAAGGUACUCCGGGGAUAACAGGCUGAUACCGCCCAAGAGUUCAUAUCGACGGCGGUGUUUGGCACCUCGAUGUCGGCUCAUCACAUCCUGGGGCUGAAGUAGGUCCCAAGGGUAUGGCUGUUCGCCAUUUAAAGUGGUACGCGAGCUGGGUUUAGAACGUCGUGAGACAGUUCGGUCCCUAUCUGCCGUGGGCGCUGGAGAAUUGAGGGGGGCUGCUCCUAGUACGAGAGGACCGGAGUGGACGCAUCACUGGUGUUCGGGUUGUCAUGCCAAUGGCACUGCCCGGUAGCUAAAUGCGGAAGAGAUAAGUGCUGAAAGCAUCUAAGCACGAAACUUGCCCGAGAUGAGUUCUCCCUGAGACUUUAAGUCUCCUGAAGGAACGUUGAAGACGACGACGUUGAUAGGCCGGGUGUGUAAGCGCAGCGAUGCGUUGAGCUAACCGGUACUAAUGAACCGUGAGGCUUAACCUUACAACGCCGAAG